This 253-nucleotide ribosomal RNA is filed under the name uncultured bacterium. RNAcentral describes it as "partial 16S ribosomal RNA". It matches the Rfam family "Bacterial small subunit ribosomal RNA", at positions 524 to 776 of the family's 1533-position model. The record is from RNAcentral.
UACGAAGGGUGCAAGCGUUACUCGGAAUUACUGGGCGUAAAGCGUGCGUAGGUGGUGAGUUAAGUCUGUCGUGAAAGCCCCGGGCUCAACCUGGGAAUGGCGAUGGAUACUGGCUCGCUAGAGUGCGGUAGAGGAGAGUGGAAUUCCCGGUGUAGCAGUGAAAUGCGCAGAUAUUGGGAGGAACACCAGCGGCGAAGGCGGCACUCUGGGCGGGUACUGACGCUGAGGAGCGAAAGCGUGGGUAGCGAACAGG